ACGGGGGGGGCAAGCGUUGUUCGGAAUUACUGGGCGUAAAGGGCUCGUAGGCGGCCAACUAAGUCGGAUGUGAAAUCCCCAGGCUUAACUUGGGAAUGGCAUCCGAUACUGGAUGGCUUGAAUCCGGGAGAGGGAUGCGGAAUUCCAGGUGUAGCGGUGAAAUGCGUAGAUAUCUGGAGGAACACCGGUGGCGAAGGCGGCAUCCUGGACCGGCAUUGACGCUGAGGCGCGAAAGCCAGGGGAGCAAACGGGA
Molecule: ribosomal RNA, 253 nt
Filed under: uncultured prokaryote
Description: partial 16S ribosomal RNA
Rfam family: Bacterial small subunit ribosomal RNA
Source: RNAcentral